This 565-nucleotide long non-coding RNA is filed under the name Homo sapiens (human). Its description in RNAcentral is "novel transcript, antisense to RAB43". The record is from RNAcentral. Lineage: Eukaryota; Metazoa; Chordata; Mammalia; Primates; Hominidae.
ACUCCACUCCCAUGGGAAAUACCCAACAGAAUCAGACAGGAAACCCCAAAGUGCCACUGAAAAGCAAUUGAGAGCCCCACUUUGGUACACCUGAUGGGAGCGGAGAGUUAGAGAGGCAGGAAAUAACCUCCACUCCAGGGUAGAAGUAGACAGGAGAUGGGAUGGAAGGUUUCUGCAUGCUGGGACUAGCUCAGGUCAAAGUCCAGAACUCCAGAAAACAAGGCCUGCCCCCAGCUCAGAGCAGCUACCACAGCACAAAAUGGUGUGGAAUCCAGGAGCCAGGAUGAAGCGUAGGGGUAGACGGUGGUUGGAUAGCUAACUGGCCUUUCCACUGCUCUAGCCUGGAACUGGUUGGGCUGGGGCAGGGGACAUGUUGGUCUGAGUAUAGAUUUUGUCAGAAAACCCAGGCACCACUCCCUUGCCUUUGCGGGGUGAUUCUAAAAUUGGACUGUGGUAAGGGUUGCACAACUCCUCAAGUUUAUUAAAAUCAUUAAAAUGUAAACUUACAACCUGUGGGUUUUAUGGUAUGUAAAUUAUACCUCAAUAAAGCUGUCUAAUAUCUGCA